Long non-coding RNA from Cotesia glomerata, 136 nucleotides. RefSeq lists it as uncharacterized. The transcript has 3 exons. The record is from RefSeq and is a predicted model, not a curated record. NCBI's taxonomy places the organism in Eukaryota, Metazoa, Arthropoda, Insecta, Hymenoptera, Braconidae.
AGAGAAAUGUUUUACUCACACACUCAUCCUCGUCUCAAUGCCCUCGCGGUUUUGAGAAUGCCGUAAAAAUACCGUAAUUUUUUGGCAUUUAUGCUCAUGCCGUAUAUUUACCGUUAUAAUUCGGUAAUAAUGCGGU